Molecule: long non-coding RNA, 102 nt
Organism: Melanotaenia boesemani (Boeseman's rainbowfish)
Lineage: Eukaryota; Metazoa; Chordata; Actinopteri; Atheriniformes; Melanotaeniidae
Exons: 3
Source: RefSeq, a predicted model, not a curated record
UUGAUAUUUUAAAAAAAAAAAUAUUCAAGUUUUGAAGUAUUGUACUAUCCUCUAAUAUUAUAAUAACACUUUUUUAUAUGGUUGAAAUUUUAAAUUUCCAAG